Carassius auratus (goldfish) is the source of this 489-nucleotide long non-coding RNA. RefSeq lists it as uncharacterized. The transcript has 3 exons. The record is from RefSeq and is a predicted model, not a curated record. Lineage: Eukaryota; Metazoa; Chordata; Actinopteri; Cypriniformes; Cyprinidae.
GAUUUCCUAAAAUUUCACAUUUACAUGCUUUUUUUUCUCCUUACAGAUAGGUUAAGUGAGCGGCUUAAACCAAGGUCAACAUGAAAGGGAAGUUCCCCCUUUGACCGCAGAGAACUUUGUUUUCUGUUGACCAAGUCAUAGUUAACGGCCACAUCACCAUCCUCUGCAACGCUCUGAAGCUGAUGUUUGCUUCAUACUACUGCUUGAACAUUUCAUACCCAGGAAACCAAGGAGAAACGCAAGAGAUUGUGCAAAGAUGCCUUUUUAAGAUGAAACCCGAGAAGGGAUCGAAAGUGGAGAAGACCACAUCCAGAAAGAAAUCGUCAGUCAGUCCAAAGGUUCUUUCACUGAUUAACAAGAUUGCGGACUAUGAAAGGAUGGAGUAAAACUUUGAGUGUCAGAUCUUCCUAUAUUGCCUAGCAGAAAUUCUUGACAGUGUCUCAGACUUAAAAUACUUGCUGAUUAUUUGCUUUCAUGGUUGAAUUUUUU